GCAUAUCAAUAAGCGGAGGAAAAGAAACUAACAAGGAUUCCCCUAGUAACGGCGAGUGAAGCGGGAUGAGCUCAAAUUUAAAAUCUGGCUGGUUUACUAGUCCGAAUUGUAGUUUAAAGAAGCGUUUUCGGUGGCAGCCUGGGUAUAAAUCCUUUGGAACAGGGUAUCAUAGAGGGUGAGAAUCCCGUCUUUGACUCAGUGCAUGCUACUAUGUGAUACGUUUUCAAAGAGUCGAGUUGUUUGGGAAU
RNAcentral lists this ribosomal RNA (248 nucleotides) under uncultured fungus. RNAcentral's name for it is "partial 26S ribosomal RNA". It matches the Rfam family "Eukaryotic large subunit ribosomal RNA", at positions 38 to 281 of the family's 3401-position model. The record is from RNAcentral. Lineage: Eukaryota; Fungi.